UUAGUUUCUUCAUUCUACUGCAGUGGAAGAACAUUGCUCAUCUGCUGUCUGUCUGGCUUUAACAACUCCAAAGACAUGUUGCUUUACCUCUUUUUACUUUGCUCUCACUUCAUAGGUGAGUGUUGGAACACAGAUGAAAGGCUCAUUAACCUGCUGGAUUAACCAGAUAUUUGGUCUACAUUUCAGAACUAGAGGUUUCUCUGUGGAAGGGAACAACUUCCAUGAUAGAAACAGACAUUUGGUUUAUUGAAUGAAUCCAGAAAGUCAAGAACCUCCGUUGAGUCUCUUGAUGUUAGAAUCUCUUGCAGACUAACUGACAUGAAUGACUCAUUUUGCAGCCCUGGGUUCCAUGAACAGCAUAAUGCCAGAAAGUCCUGAAGAACAUGUUGCAGAGGGAGGAAACAUCAACCUGACCUGUAAAUAUGAGGGUGCUAUCUACAGUAUCCAGUGGUACCGACAAUACCAGAGAUCCAGACCAGAGUUCCUGCUCUACAUCACAGAGAGUGGAUCGAUUCAUUCAGCUGGUUCUGUUUUCUCAGCUCACAUUAAUAAAGAAGAGAAACGUGUGAAUCUGGAGAUCAUCUCAGCUAAAGUGACAGACUCUGCUGUGUACUACUGUGCUCUGCAGCCCCUGCAGAUCUCCUCUGCUGCAGUGACAGACUCUGCUGUGUACUACUGUGUAUAA
Molecule: non-coding RNA, 685 nt
Organism: Micropterus salmoides (largemouth bass)
Lineage: Eukaryota; Metazoa; Chordata; Actinopteri; Centrarchiformes; Centrarchidae
Source: the annotation of a RefSeq genome assembly